Molecule: ribosomal RNA, 254 nt
Filed under: uncultured bacterium
Lineage: Bacteria
Description: partial 16S ribosomal RNA
Rfam family: Bacterial small subunit ribosomal RNA
Source: RNAcentral
CGUAGGUGGCGAGCGUUAUCCGGAAUGAUUGGGCGUAAAGGGUGCGCAGGCGGCAUAUCAAGUCUGAAGUGAAAGGUACGGGCUCAACCUGUACAGGCUUUGGAAACUGGUAUGCUCGAGGACAGGAGAGGGCGGUGGAACUCCACGUGUAGCGGUAAAAUGCGUAGAGAUGUGGAAGAACACCAGUGGCGAAGGCGGCCGCCUGGCCUGUAACUGACGCUCAGGCACGAAAGCGUGGGGGAGCAAAUAGGAUU